CCAGAACUGGGGAAGAGAGGCGGAACUCCUGAGCCCUUGGGUACUAGUGUUCCUUACAUCGAACAAGAACUGGCCGCUGUUUCAGACCGGAAGGGUGCAGAGAUGAAAGACAGGACCCAGGGUCUCAGGAUGCCUGUUGCCUCCUAAGAGAGUUGGACAUUUCUAUUUUGAUUUGCAUUUCAAUUGAGGUUGAUAGGGAGUGACCUUCACGUCUGAAUGACCUGCAGAUGAGAACAGAAUAGACUUGAUUAUGAAGCAAGAAAUUUUUAAAGGAUUUAUCUGAUGGAACAUCAAGAGGAUUCUUUCUUUCUUUUAAGAGAUAUGAGGUCUCACUCUGUCAUAGUGGCACAAUCAUAGCUCAGUGCAGCCUUGAACUCCUGGGCUCCAGCGAUCCUCCUGCCUCAGCCUCCCAAGCAGCUGGGACUACAGAUGAAUACCAUCAUGCCCCCAGCUAGUAAGAGGGUUCUAUGUGUUGAUUCACUGGGAAACCAGAGACUAGAGAUACCUGUGAAGACACUUUCAAGAAGUUAGAAGAAUUACCCUUGAAUGAAGAAAGGAGCUGACUAGAAGUAGUUUAUUGAAUAACACACAAAGAUUGUUUCAAACCUACAAAAGAUAAAUGUGAGGAAGGGAUUUGGGGAAUCCUCCUAUGUCCUCCAGUCUGGCUAUACAUUAGGAUGGAACAGAAAUCCUACCAAUGUGAUGAAUGUGGCAAAGCUUUCAGAGUGCAUACCUCAAUGGCCAUCAGAAAACCUAUACUGGAGUGAAACC
This 771-nucleotide long non-coding RNA is filed under the name Homo sapiens (human). RNAcentral's name for it is "non-protein coding ZNF197-AS1:5". The record is from RNAcentral. Lineage: Eukaryota; Metazoa; Chordata; Mammalia; Primates; Hominidae.